RNAcentral lists this ribosomal RNA (413 nucleotides) under uncultured Acaulospora. Its description in RNAcentral is "SSU rRNA". It matches the Rfam family "Eukaryotic small subunit ribosomal RNA", at positions 569 to 984 of the family's 1831-position model. Lineage: Eukaryota; Fungi; Glomeromycota; Glomeromycetes; Diversisporales; Acaulosporaceae. The record is from RNAcentral.
AGCAGCCGCGGUAAUUCCAGCUCCAAUAGCGUAUAUUAAAGUUGUUGCAGUUAAAAAGCUCGUAGUUGAAUUUCGGGGUUCAUACAUUGGUCGGGCUUUUUGGUCUGUACUUAUGUAAUGGAUUCCUACCUUCUGAAUAACCAGCAUGCCAUUAAUUUGGUGCGCCGGGGAAGCAGAACUGUUACCUUGAAAAAAUUAGAGUGCUUAAAGCAGGCUAUCGCCUGAAUACAUUAGCAUGGAAUAAUGAAAUAGGACGGCAUGGUUCUAUUUUGUUGGUUUCUAGGAUCACCGUAAUGAUUAAUAGGGAUAGUUGGGGGCAUUAGUAUUCAAUUGUCAGAGGUGAAAUUCUUGGAUUUAUUGAAGACUAACUUCUGCGAAAGCAUUUGCCAAGGAUGUUUUCAUUAAUCAAGAAC